UACGUAGGUGGCAAGCGUUUGUCCGGAAUUAUUGGGCGUAAAGCGCGCGCAGGCGGCCUCUUAAGUCUGAUGUGAAAGCCCCCCGGCUCAACCGGGGAGGGCCAUUGGAAACUGGGAGGCUUGAGUAUAGGAGAGAAGAGUGGAAUUCCACGUGUAGCGGUGAAAUGCGUAGAGAUGAUGGAGGAACACCAGUGGCGAAGGCGACUCUUUGGCCUAUAACUGACGCUGAGGCGCGAAAGCGUGGGGAGCAAAACAGG
RNAcentral lists this ribosomal RNA (257 nucleotides) under uncultured bacterium. Its description in RNAcentral is "partial 16S ribosomal RNA". It matches the Rfam family "Bacterial small subunit ribosomal RNA", at positions 524 to 776 of the family's 1533-position model. The record is from RNAcentral.